Molecule: ribosomal RNA, 253 nt
Filed under: uncultured bacterium
Lineage: Bacteria
Description: partial 16S ribosomal RNA
Rfam family: Bacterial small subunit ribosomal RNA
Source: RNAcentral
UACAGAGGUGGCAAGCGUUGUUCGGAAUUACUGGGCGUAAAGCGUGCGCAGGCGGUUUUGUAAGUCUGUCGUGAAAUCCCCGGGCUUAACCUGGGAAUGGCGAUGGAGACUGCAAGGCUAGAGUUUGGCAGAGGGGGGUAGAAUUCCACGUGUAGCAGUGAAAUGCGUAGAGAUGUGGAGGAACACCGAUGGCGAAGGCAGCCCCCUGGGUCAAAACUGACGCUCAUGCACGAAAGCGUGGGGAGCAAACAGG